GAUCCUGGCUCAGGAUGAACGCUGGCGGCGUGCUUAACACAUGCAAGUCGAGCGAAGCACUUUGCUUUGAUUUCUUCGGGAUGAAGAGCUUGGUGACUGAGCGGGCGGACGGGUGAGUAACGCGUGGGUAACCUGCCUCAUACAGGGGGAUAACAGUUAGAAAUGACUGCUAAUACCGCAUAAGGCCACAGCACCGCAUGGUGCAGGGGGUAAAAAACUCCGGUGGUAUGAGAUGGACCCG
This 241-nucleotide ribosomal RNA is filed under the name uncultured bacterium. Its description in RNAcentral is "partial 16S ribosomal RNA". It matches the Rfam family "Bacterial small subunit ribosomal RNA", at positions 15 to 233 of the family's 1533-position model. The record is from RNAcentral.